RNAcentral lists this long non-coding RNA (811 nucleotides) under Nicotiana benthamiana. RNAcentral's name for it is "long non-coding RNA (NBEN_LNC004084)". The record is from RNAcentral. Lineage: Eukaryota; Viridiplantae; Streptophyta; Magnoliopsida; Solanales; Solanaceae.
GCAGAGGGGACAGUCUUUGGCCCAGGUAAAAUAAAAACCUGGCAUCCCCUUCCACCCAAGUGGACUAUUCUCUCCUUAUGGAGUCUAAGAAAAGAGAGAUAUCCUUGCGUAAGGCGAAAGAUCGAUGUCCUUCAGAAUUCUAAAAAGAUCAAGAAUUGCGUGCCUUUAGAUCCCAUCUUUCUUGAUUAUGAAUCAAGACGAAAGGUCGGAUGUACUUGUUUAGGCCAGGUCUACUUUUGGCCAUUCUUCUCUAUGAAAAAUAGAAUAUUGCUCAAAGAAGGUGACUCGUAGUCCCUUUUCAAGUGUUAUCUUCACUAUGGAUGAUCCAGUUGGUGUGCGUAUGAAAGAACGGAUUCCCCCUAUUUAUGGGAUAUAUGCCUUGCUUCUCCUCCAUACCCCUUUCAGCAAGGGUUGACGUGUUCUCCAAGAAUCUUCUUCCGACCUCUGAGGUGGUCCGUCAAGUCCUCUAGCCUAGGGUAGUCAAAAUAAAGGCAGGAUUCUCUCGUCUUUUAUUUCCCUUUUUUCUGAGAGAGAUGUCGUCCUUCCAGUUCCUGAUGAAUUGAGUCCGCCAUCUAUUUCAUAGUAAUCACGAAAAGCAAGCCCUAUGUGUCACAAGCAGGCACCAUAGGUUCUUUACUUUUUGGUGGGGUGGAGGGCUUUUGUGCAUUAUAGCACAGGCCGUGACUACCUUUUUACCUUGAUUGAUGCUGCAUAUCGCCCGCUUGUUCUAUAGAAAACUAAGUGCCUAUCAAUUAGUUCCAAGAAAGCGGUCGGGGUCUAACUAGAAUUUCAUUCCAAUCUCGAUAUUAUU